UGGCUCAGUGAUUAAGAGCACUGGAUGCUCUUCCAGAGGACCUGGGUUUGAUUCCCAG
RNAcentral lists this transfer RNA (58 nucleotides) under Mesocricetus auratus (golden hamster). It matches the Rfam family "tRNA", at positions 8 to 63 of the family's 71-position model. From Rfam's summary of the family: Transfer RNA (tRNA) molecules are approximately 80 nucleotides in length. Their secondary structure includes four short double-helical elements and three loops (D, anti-codon, and T loops). Lineage: Eukaryota; Metazoa; Chordata; Mammalia; Rodentia; Cricetidae. The record is from Rfam by way of RNAcentral.